CAAAUCCUGCUUUGUGCGUUGCUUGUUGAUUUUUAAACCACAGUGUGUUUUUGGGAGCCACUGCUUAGAUUGCAGAUAUCAGGCCGUCAUGGAACGGAAGGUAGAAACAGUUUAGCUGACACCCACCUGCGAGCAGCGGGUAUUAAAAACACCAAGUGGACGGCUAAGUGGGUUACUU
This 178-nucleotide non-coding RNA is filed under the name Desulforamulus aquiferis. RNAcentral's name for it is "6S / SsrS RNA". It matches the Rfam family "6S / SsrS RNA". Rfam says of the family: E. coli 6S RNA was the first non coding RNA to be sequenced, but its function was unknown until recently. Lineage: Bacteria; Bacillati; Bacillota; Clostridia; Eubacteriales; Peptococcaceae. The record is from Rfam by way of RNAcentral.